GGGAAUGGGGCUCAGUGGUAGAGUGCUUGCCUUGCAUGCAUGAAGCCCUGGGUUUGAUUCCUCAGUACCA
Molecule: transfer RNA, 70 nt
Filed under: Dipodomys ordii (Ord's kangaroo rat)
Lineage: Eukaryota; Metazoa; Chordata; Mammalia; Rodentia; Heteromyidae
Rfam family: tRNA
About the family: Transfer RNA (tRNA) molecules are approximately 80 nucleotides in length.
Source: Rfam by way of RNAcentral